Molecule: ribosomal RNA, 492 nt
Filed under: uncultured bacterium
Lineage: Bacteria
Description: partial 16S ribosomal RNA
Rfam family: Bacterial small subunit ribosomal RNA
Source: RNAcentral
AGUGAACGCUGGCGGUAGGCCUAACACAUGCAAGUCGAACGGCAGCACAGUAAGAGCUUGCUCUUACGGGUGGCGAGUGGCGGACGGGUGAGGAAUACAUCCGAAUCUACUUUUUCGUGGGGGAUAACGUAGGGAAACUUACGCUAAUACCGCAUACGACCUACGGGUGAAAGCAGGGGAUCUUCGCACCUUGCGCGAUUGAAUGAGCCGAUGUCGGAUUAGCUAGUUGGCGGGGUAAAGGCCCACCAAGGCGACGAUCCGUAGCUGGUGUGAGAGGAUGAUCGGCCACACUGGAACUGAGACACGGUCCAGACUCCUACGGGAGGCAGCAGUGGGGAAUAUUGGACAAUGGGCGCAAGCCUGAUCCAGCCAUACCGCGUGGGUGAAGAAGGCCUUCGGGUUGUAAAGCCCUUUUGUUGGGAAAGAAAAGCAGCAGGUUAAUACCCCGCUGUUCUGACGGUAACCAAAGAAUAAGCACCGGCUAACUUCGUG